This is an RNA transcript of Canis lupus familiaris (dog), 3228 nucleotides long. It is a transcript of the gene named glutamic-oxaloacetic transaminase 1 like 1, with no coding region annotated. NCBI's taxonomy places the organism in Eukaryota, Metazoa, Chordata, Mammalia, Carnivora, Canidae. The record is from RefSeq and is a predicted model, not a curated record. The transcript has 11 exons.
CCAGAGCCUCUGCAUUGGAUCUGCCGGGGUUCCGGGAAGAGGCAGGCCUGGCUGGGCCAGACUUAGAGGAAGGCUUUGGGGCAGGAGCAGGGAACAGCCUAGUCUUGGCUGUACUUUUUAUCUCAGUGAUGCCCACCCUUUCUGUGUUCCUGGAUGUGCCCUUGGCCCAGAAGCUAGAAGGCAGCUUGUUAAAGACCUACAAGCAAGACGAUUGUCCUAAGAAGAUUUUCUUGGCCUAUAGAGUCUGCAUGACCACUGAAGGCCAACCCUGGGUUUCUUCCGUGGUGCCCAAGAUCCGGCUUCAGAUAUCGCAGGACCCGUCUCUGAACUACGAGUAUAUGCCAAUGAUGGGUAUGAAAUCAUUCACGGAGGCCUCCUUGAAACUCCUCUUUGGAAAGUACAACCAAGUCAUUGUGGAGAACAGGGUAGGGGGCGUGCACACUGUUGGUGACAAUGGUGCCUUCCAACUUGGGGCCCAGUUCCUCAAAAUCUGGCGUAAAGAUUCUCGAAUAGUUUACAUCAUUUCUUCUAAAAAAGAAUCACAUGGACUCAUCUUCCAGGACAUGGGCUUUACAGUUUGUGAAUACUCCUUGUGGGAUUCCAAGCAGCUGUGCAUGGACCCCAAUGUGCUUCUCGAUGUGGCGGAGCAGGCCCCGCAUGGCUGUAUCUUUGUGAUUGGGAACAUUGGUGACUGCAAGUUGACACAGAGUCAGUGGGCAAGGUUGAUAGCCAGCAUGAAGAGCAAGCAGAUAUUCCCAUUUUUUGACAUUCCUUAUCAAGGUUUGUCCACCGGGAACUUGGAGGAAGAUACUGGAUUCUUACAAUACUUUGUGUCUCAGGACUUUGAGUUCUUCUGCAGCCAGUCUCUGUCCAAGAUUUUUGGCAUCUAUGAUGAAGGAGUGGGGGUCCUGGUCGUGGUGGCACUCAACAACCAGCUCCUGCUAUGCGUCCUCUCCCAGCUGAUGAAUCUCACCCAGGCCCUGUGGCUAAACCCUCCUACUAGAGGUGCUCGCAUUAUCACCUCCAUCCUCUGUAACCCUGCUCUUCAGGGGGAAUGGAAGCAGAGUCUGAAAGAGCUUGUAGAGAACAUCAUGCUGAUCAAGGAAAAGGUGAAGGAGAAGCUCCGGCUCCUGGGAACCCCUGGCUCUUGGGAUCACAUCACAGACCAGAACGGGCCCCAGAGCUAUCUUGGACUCAACUAACAUUGGAACCAGAAAAAUGCCCCCUCGGAGAGGCAGCCUACCCGGUUCUGCAGAAACCUGUGCUUUCUGCAAGCAACUCCAAUCUGGUAAAUAGAGAGGCAGAGAUAAAGGAGAAGCAGGCUCCUCACAGGGAUCCCAGGAUCACACCCUGAGUUGAAGGCAGAUGCUCAACCGCUCAGCCACCCAGGUGUCCCAUGGUGGAAACAGAGGCAAUGCCAUAAAAAACAAAUCCAGUAUUGACACAUACUAUAACUUGGUUGAACCUUGAAAAACCUGAACCUGAGUGAAAGAAGCCAGACACAAGAGGCCACAGAUAGUAUGAUUCCAUUUAUAUGAAAUCUCCAGAAAAGGCAAAUCUGUAAAGGCAGAAAGCAGAUUCGUGAUGGCCAGAGGCUGGGCAGGAGGUACGGGCACUGAUUCCUCACAGGCAUGGAGCUUCAUUCUUGGGUGAUGGAAAUGUUUUGGAAUUAAAUGAUGGUGAUGGUUGCACAACAUGGUGGAGAUCCUAAAAACCACUGCACUACACACUUUAAGAUGGUGAAUUUUUGGUUAUGUGAAUAAUAUCUCAAAUAAACAAACAAACAAACAAAAGCUUGGUAUUUAAAAAAGUAAAACUGAAAGAUUUAGGUUAAGAAUUUAAGAGUCCAUUUUCAAAGGGUCAUCUCUUUGCAUUCUCAAGGGAGCCCUCUUUUUCUAGGGCCUCAGGGACCUCACUGGCUGGUGUGGAUGUCAGAGAAGAAGAGAGGGAGAAUGAACUAGAAGGACCAGUCAUGGCUCUGUGUCUUUAAGAUUUUAUUUUUAAGUAAUCUCUACACCCAAAGUGGGGCUUGAAUUUACAACCCUGAGAUAAAGAGUCACAUGCUCUGCUGACUGAGCCAGCCAGGCACCUCAGGAUCAGAGAGGUUUUACAAAUUAUGAAUGGCUAUUUAAAAAAUGAAAAUGUAAAGUGAACCUGUUUAUAGUAGCAUCAAGAAUACCAAAUACCUAGGAAUAAAUCUGACAAAAGAUGUACAAGACCUGCGUAGAAAACUACAAACACUGAGAGAAAUUACAUUUAAAAAGGAUCUAUCUUGCUCACUCUCUGGAAUAUUCAAUAGUGUAAAGAUGUGAAAUUUCCCCAAAUUGACCUGUGAAUUCAAUGCAAUCUCAAUCAAAAUUUGAGCAAGUUUUUGUUGUUGCUUUGUUGUGUCUUGUUGUGUUUUAGAAAUGAACAAGUUGAUUCUAAAAUGAAUAUGAAAAUGCAAAGGACUGAGAAUAACCAAGAAAUCUCAGUGGAUGAAGGACAAAGCUGAAAGCUUUACAUUAGAAGAUAUCGAGAAGUAUUAGAAAGCUAUAAUAAUUAAGACAGUGUGGCUUUGGCUCAAAAACAGACCAGUUGACCAAAGGGCCAGAAUAGAGGUCAGAAACAAACCCACAAAUAACCGUGGCAAUAGAGAGCUGGUGGGGGAAAGCUAAGUUUUUUUCAAUAAAUGGCGCUGGGUCUAUGGGAUAUAUUUGUGAAACACCAAAAGAAUCUUGAUUCCUAUCUGAUACUAUAUGGUUGGAAAAAUUUAUGCUUCCAUGGAAAACUGCAUUUUUGUAGCAGAGCCUCUGGGUUAUCUGAUGGUGAUUUUAUGGCCACUAUUUUAUAACUCUAUAAGUUGUAGAUAGCACAGAAAAAUUCAUGAAAAUAAAUUCUGUCUGGUUGAGGGACAACAUCCCCUCCACUCCUGUGAAAAACUUAUUCUGCCUUAAAUUGCAUAUUCAUUUCAAUAUUCUUGAAUUAUAAAUGUGUCUGUUCUUUGGACUCUUUUUUUAAGAUUGUUUAUUUAUUCAUGAGAGACAGAGAUAGAGAGAGAGAGAGGCAGAGACACAGGCAGAGGGAGAAGCAGGCUCCACGCAGGGAGCCCGACGUGGGACUCGAUCCCUGGUCUCCAGGAUCACGCCCCGGCCCGAAGGUGGCGCUAAACCUCUGAGCCACCCGGGCUGCCCUGGACUUCCUUUUGAACAGGUUGAAUCACCUUGCCAGUUUUACUUCCUAAUAAGU